UACUUUAUACAUAACAUAUAUGUUGCCAUACCUUGCAUAACUGAAUAACCCUUAUGGCACAGUAACAAUUCAAUACAUUUAUGGUCACUACAGUAUUUGGAUUUAAUAAUCUUCAUGUGGGAAAAGGCUGACUCGCAUAAAUAAGUAGAGCCGAAUAAUGCAGUCAAGGAGGUAGCACAUUUCCUCAUGUGAAAAAUGACGGCUGUCCGAUUAACUGCGAUUUUAGUUCCCUCUUCUUUCUCUUUCUUAGAUCGCUUUUCGGAAGGAAGUCAGUUUUGUAGUUUUUAUGAACAGUUCGAAAGUGCCUUUCCACAUUUUCCUUCUUUGGAAUAGCAAUGAUAGAUUGACAGAUCAGACAAACGCACUUCGAUUGUGACAUUGUGAGAAAAAAAAAUCCUCUUCCAAUUCCACAUCCAGCCCAUACCC
Molecule: long non-coding RNA, 426 nt
Organism: Erpetoichthys calabaricus (reedfish)
Lineage: Eukaryota; Metazoa; Chordata; Cladistia; Polypteriformes; Polypteridae
Exons: 2
Source: RefSeq, a predicted model, not a curated record